AAAAAAAGUCCAAGUCCUUAGUGUUUCGAAUAUUUUGAUUUUAACAUUUUUCAAAAAGCAAAUUUACAGAAAAAUAAUAUCAAUGGUAUUUCAUGUCAACACUAAAGUAUUGACAAAUGGGUAUUUGAUAUCCUUUGGACCAUAGUCAAUCAGCAAUGACAUUGAGCACAGUGGAUGUAAAAACUCAUCAAAGACAUCAAACAUACCAGGCUUAUAAUUUUUAUAUGUCAGACAUGUCUUUCUUCUAUGUGAGGCACAUCAGUGGUGCUCUAAUUAACACAGCUUUUUGGCAAUGUCAAAUAAAUUUAGUUGAAGAUCUUUAAAGGGGCAUAAGCUGUUCAGGAUCACUGAAUUGAGGCCGAUUCUUAUAUUUUAUUCAUAACAUUCUAAAAUGUUAUCCAAAUUACAACAAAUCCAAAAGAAACAAAAUAACAACCACAUGGUUAUUUGUUGAAAGCC
RNAcentral lists this long non-coding RNA (459 nucleotides) under Mytilus galloprovincialis (Mediterranean mussel). Lineage: Eukaryota; Metazoa; Mollusca; Bivalvia; Mytilida; Mytilidae. The record is from RNAcentral.